Molecule: non-coding RNA, 4678 nt
Organism: Delphinapterus leucas (beluga whale)
Lineage: Eukaryota; Metazoa; Chordata; Mammalia; Artiodactyla; Monodontidae
Source: RefSeq, a predicted model, not a curated record
CAUUAAGAGUGUCUCAUGCAAGCCGUGCAGGGCUAAGCAUGCUCAGUGUAAAUUCUCCUGUAGCCUGUCAAGCUAUGUUUGAACCCGUUCCAGAAUACUGGAUUUACUUUUUUUUUUUUUUCCACGAGGAAGAAUGCUCGAUUAGACUGCAUUUUGCCCUGCUUUUCUCUCUCUUUCUUCCCUUUCUUUCUUUCUCUCUUUCUUUCUCUUUCUUUUCCCUCUCAUUUCUUCCUGCCAGAAGAUUGGAAACAAUAUCCUUUUCCGAUCAGUUCAGUAAUACAAUGUCCUUCAAUGUUCACACGAGCAUUUCAGUGGAGAAGAAAAGAAACUUUGCUACCUGGGAACAGAAGACUACUUAGGUCUGUGAAUGCUAAUAAAGUCCUUAAGGACUUCUGGAGCCAGGAGUUAACUUUUCUCAACUGUUAAGUAGAGACGCCGGUGUUCCACAUCCUGUUGGACUCAUCUCUCCAGGACGGUAGCGCUCCGGGAAAAAUUCCCUACCGAAGGGGAACCAAGAGCCUGGAGGAUCUCUUAGAAAGAAACCGCAUCAUCAACUAAGGUGGAAAAGUAACAAAGAGCUUGAAGACUUUCAUGGAUCCCAGGCCCUGGAUGGAGGCAGGCGGCUUCAGACAGCAUCAGACAGAGAACCAAGAAAGCCGAGGGGCAGCCGGAAGGUGCCUGUGGCUGCCGAGCCCAGACUUGUCUUUGGAAAAGACUCAGAAGAGCCAGUAAACUUGGCUUCUUCAGUUCUGCUUCUCAUACGCAGGCAAAUGGUUUGAAGACGCUGGCCUAGCAAGAUGGCAACAGGUUUAAAAAAACAGGAUUCACAAGAAGUUCCUUUUUUCAGGUAAUUCUAUUUUCCUAUAAUUUCCCCAAACCUUCCAUUUCCUCAAGUAUUACAAGUUCUUAGGGCAUGCUUGAAUCAUUUAAUUUUGAAGAAUAACUACUUUAAGCUUAUUUUUUGACAAUAGCAGCCAGUUUUAUAAUAUUUGUAGCCAACGAGCAGAUUAUUCAAUUCUGUGGAGCUCAGAAAAAUAUUUUGAAAGUUAUUGCUUAACAGUGCUUAUUUCUUUUGACAGCGAUUUAGGCAAACCUCAUUUGACACCAUCAGGCGCCGUUCUUAAACUCUGUGGCUAUCUUUAGUGAUUGUACUUAGAAAUAUAAGUAUUAGAGGAUUAUCUCUAAAAAGCCUAACAUGUGCUCUGAAUUCCUGGAAGAUAUGGCUUAUAGAAGCUGCAUAAUAACUGGUGCUUUAUAACAUAAUAAUGGCAUAAUAGUUGAUGUUUUAACUUUAGUCCUAGAUUAGUACUACAUACAGUAUGUAGACAUAUUUUAUACAACUAUGCUUACACAGGUCCAGUGACUAGGAUUUGAGCUCAGCUAUCGUGAUAUAAGUAGCUUCCUUUCAGUGUUAUUGGAGGACUUUGUGGUACGUAAAUAUGUUUAAUAACACAAAUGAUAUAUUUGCUUGAUAAAUUACCUUACCCUACUUUUGCCAUUGUUUAUAGGUAUUUGCCUACAUUUUCCAAGUUAAUUAUUAGUGUUACUAUCUAAGGUAGCCCCACAGAAUCUUGCUUAAGAAAGCAGGACAAACUUUACUCUGAAAAGAACCCUUAUUAUUCUACUCAACACAAAGAUGGUUCUUGAAGGAGGUAUUCAAUUGAUAUUUGGGGAAAAUGUCUAUUCCCAAAUAAACCAUUCUUCUACUAGGUCGGUAUCUUAACUUUCUCUUUUCUCUGCCACCUGGGCAUCUUCUGAUUUCUCUGUUAUUUUCUAAAAUUAAAACUCUGGAUUGUUUGGAAAUUAACACUACAAACCCUUCAGAAUGAAUAACUUUUCUCUGUCCUGUAUUUUCCACACACACACACACACAAAAAGACACAGAGAAGCCCCCAAUUGAAACACGGCAUUGAGCUCCUUUUUAUGGACUUGGAGGGUGCAGAUUUACAAAGGUGAUGCUUCUUGAAUGAUUCAGUGUAACACUCUGACAGAUCUUCAUCCGUUGCUAACGAAUAUUGCAUCCUGUCUUUUUAAUAAAUGAUAACAACAGUUCUGGUCACUUUGGGAGCCUGAGCCUAUUCCUUUAUACAUUAAUAAGAGCUCCUAUGUCACACACAUUCCAGCCAUCCUUAACAGUGUGCAAAGUGCCCAUCCUCAAAUACCUCUGGCCCUAUGACCUUGUCAGGGAGAUCAAAGAAAAAUAAGAGGCUUGGAGUUUAUUUUAAAACCUUUUGUUCUAUAAAGGAAAUGAACAUUUUAAAAUAACAGAAAGUCCAAACCAUUUUGAGGUAACUGGUUUGGAUCCUCCUUGCUUCCACUUGGGAUUGUUGUUUCUUUGAAUCUAAAAGUCCAGCCACGGAGCUGCAACGAAAUUCUCGGUCUUGGCAACCUUCACAGCACCAGUGAACUCUGAGCAGUGAUGCUUGUGGCUCCAUCGUGAUUAAACAGGCAGACAAUGAAGUGUCUAUGAACCAUUGCCUCCUCUUCCCUGUUUGUCCCACUGUUGGUUUCCUGUUCUCUCGCUUCCACCUUUUAAGUUGUAUACGUCGGGGCCUGCUCUUUUCUCUGAAUAAUUCUCAAAUUCAGCUGUGUUUUUUUGUUAUUAGGAGAGCCUCCCAGAUUCUUGAGGUAGGAAUGAAUGUUCCUCUGUCACGGCAAAGAUCUUUUUUUUUUUUGAGAACCAGCAUCUACGGUCAUUGCUAACAAAAGUUGAAAAGGUCUCUUUUUAGAUCCUACAAAGAGAUGGAGGCAUAUGUUUUUCCCCACAUCUAGGGAGAUGGAUGAUUUUGCUUUCCAUCAUUUGUCUUUGAAGUACUCACGCUUCAGACUCUGUCCUCAAUAAAAUUCACAAAAGGAGCCAUUAAUGAAAGUACAUUGUCUUGGCUACUCCUUUACUUGUAGAACACUGAUUAUGAAGAAAGGAUGUUACGCUGACAAACAAAAUCCUUUUAUGAGAAAUCCUUAGAAAUAGAGUCAUUCCCACAACCUGGGACAGUUUUGAGGGGAGCAACUAUACAAUUUCUUUUCUGGUUCAGAUUUUAUAAAAUAUGCCCAGACUUGCUCAUUGUUGGUGUUUGGACCAAUAACAGGGGCGGAGUGAGGGUGAAAUACAAACUUUUCCUCAUGAUGAAUCUUCCAAUUUAAUGUAACUGGAAAUCUCUAGAAUAAUUUUCAGGAAAUACUAACAAGCCCAUAGGCGGUGCUUGCUAGUUUAUUACAGCUGUUUGCCAGAACGCAAAUAAAAAAGGAAAAAUUCACCAUCUUUUUUUCAUGUAAUUACAGGUAUUUAAAAGAAUGAACUUGCACUUGGGUUCUCCAGUGUUUCUCUCUUUCUCUCCCUACAACUGAAAGACUUUUCUUUAUUCUGCUCAUUUGCCAUCACUAUGCUCCGUGUGUGUGUUAAGGCCUGAAUAAAUGAGUCUUCUGUAAUAUUAAACAGUAAAAUGAUGAGGUUUACCUGAAGCCCAUUGUGUCUGUGGAAUAAGUGAAAACAGGGAAGUAUGUGGGGGAGAACCUAGAAGAUGCUGCUUAACUUUUGCCCUUUUAAGAGUGGGAUGAAGUCUUCCCGUUUCUGGCGUGAAAUGAUAGAAUGGCAGAACCUUCGGUUGGACUAAUGGUGUUAACGUUUCAUUUUCAGACAUGUCAGACACCCACACGAGAGAGAUACUAAGGCCUGUUGCCACAAACCCGUAGAUCCGAACUUGUGAUGAUAGCCCACACAAGCUUGUGUCUAUAGGUAUGUGUCUGUGGGCAAUCUCACAGGCCGCGGGCUUUGCCUGUCUGCCAUCAAAGUCCCUUCCAAUUCCUUGAUUCUCCUUCUCUUCCCCUUAGUUUCCUCUAAGAGGGGUAGACACGGAAAGAGGGGCUGGUGCGGAGGAAGGAGAUCUUUUGUCCUGAAAUGGAUGAGGCUCUUCAAUGAUUAAUUUAUAGGCUCGCCCUCAAUUCCCUUCUUUCUUCUAACUGCUCUCAGCUGUCAGACAAAGAGCCUGGGCUCACAGGUGAGGCAGCAGGAAUGGGGGUGACUCAGACAACUUACUAUUGAGUGGUGAGUAAAUAGAUAUAUACACGAGGGUUUGUUUUGUUUUCUGUGAGCCUGACAUUGUUUUCAAAGUUAUCCCGUGAUCUUUUUUGGAAAGUGACAGAGACUUGUUUACAAGACCCAGUUCACCCUGGUUUGGGUUGUAUCAGUACCUUGUAGUAAGUCUUCCUUUCCCAUUGUUCUCCAAGUGCCAUCAAAUCAGUCCUUGCCUUUAAAAAUAAAAGUAAUGAGGGGAAUGGAUGUGCUUAACUAUUUAUACUUCUGGACAUACCCAGCAAUGUAAGAAAAAGAACUUUUAUAAAAAAGAAAUGGCUCGUUUAGGUCCAGCUUCAUAUUUGUCCAGAGCUGUUUUAUAACUCUUCACCAUGCUUAAAAGGCUGGAAUGAAAAUAAUUUUAUCCCCUUGCCUCUUAAAUGUCACCAUUGUGCCAGGAUUGGAAAGCCAAACUGACUCCAGAUCAAAGCAAAAUUGGCUAUAUUUGUCUCAUUCCAACAAUGUGAGCUGAAGAGUCUGUAAACAGAACCCAGGGUGAAAAGUUGAUCAGAUUUGGAUGACUCUGAAACUUUUGCAUUCCCUUUUGGUCAAACAUAGUGCCAGGAGUUCCCUUAAGGCUUUUUUUUUUUUUUUUUUUUUGGUGAA